AUUUCCACCCAAGGCCAAUAGCAACCACCAGCACAUUUCCAAUCGAAGGCAAAGCCACGGCCAGGGAAAGGGAAAAGACAUCCAAUGAGGCGGGGUUACCUAAAAAAGUUGUACCGAUACUGAGUUUCCUUCUGAACUUCGUCACCCAGCUUAUUUGCAACGAAAUCCUCUCUGUCGACCACCAGGAACUCUGUCUCCUCCAUGCAGACCACCGUGGCACUCCUUACUGUGGUGCUUAGAAGGCCCAUUUCCUGGGGGAAGCAAGGACAAGGGCAGGUGUGACUCCACACUCAGUCCUGCAUCCAUCUUCCCUGCCUCUGGCCCCCUCCCCUUCACCCUCCCACCCUUUAUUUGUAUAUGGGAAAGAGACAACAGGUCUGAACAGGCUAGAGCAGAGGGAGUGGAGAGGCCUCGGUGGAGUCUCUGGCAUCCAAGUGUCUAUGAACGGUGAAAAGGCAAACACGGGUGAGGAGAUGUGUGUAGUCCUACUCAUCGGCAUCUGACAGGGUCCCCGAGUCUCUGAAGCAGGGGCUGUUCCCCUCACUGACCUUUCAAAGCGUAUGACCUUGGCCAGGAGCAGCUGUAGAGACUCUGUGUAGCUGCGGUAGCAAUCUAGAGCCUGAAGAAUAUUGCAGAGGUCUUGGAUCUCCUGGUGGGUCCUCCAGGAUGGCUUCUUCUGUGUGAUAGAAAUGGCCCUCGGAGGGAAGUGACCCUGGGAAGACAUGGCCAGAGGACUCCAGCAGGCGACUCUCCAUAUUGUUGCUUUCACGCUCACCCAUUCUACUCACGGGAAGAGCUGACACGGACUAAGGGUUGGGUGCCAACCAUCAGAGUGAGCAUCUUACACACCCAUCUCACAACAUCUUCAUCCAGCAGGAGAAUCAUUUCCAUAUGGAUGAAGGAACUCAGAAAGCAGGAGUUUCUCUGUGUAGCCUUGGCUGUUCUGGAACUCACUCUGUAGACCAGGCUGGCCUCAAACUCAGAGAUCCGCCUGCCUCUGCCUCCCAAGUGCUGGGAUUAAAGGCGUGCACCACCACGCCCGGCAUACGCUUCACUAAUGAAGGGACAUGAAGGUCAAAUCCAGGAGAGCCACGUAAGAGGACCCACACCUCCAAGGGGUAGGGUGGAGCAGUGGAACAAGCACAGUGUUGUUAGUACUGAUUACAAAGUUCUGUUCUCCCUCUUUCCUCAGAGAAGAGCCCAAAUGGGUGAGACCAGGGUGGCGUCAGGUCUGAGAGAGUUAGACUGUGACUGACUCCUAUAAAUAGACAGGCCCCUUUAACUUUAAAGUUGGAUAUUAAAUAAGGAUUUAAUAUCCAGGAUUUGGUGGUCAGAAGAGAGGAAGGAAGUAAUGGUGCUGGAGUUGAAAGACCGCACACAUCACACGGGCCAAAAGACCCAUCCAGAUAAAGCCCUUCUCAUGUCAGAGUGGGACUGCAGCUUAAAGAGCAUCCAACAUAGAGGGCCAUGUAUACUGACAUCCCUCAGAGAGUUCAGGGCCAAACCAGAACUCACCAACAGGCCAAGGGGUUUCCCACCAUCUGGCUUUCUUCUCCUCUGGCUGGGCAUCCUGUGUCCUCUGUUUUGCUUUCUGCUGUUUUCCCAUAAGUCCAAGCCCAGAAACUCUUAGAUUGGCUCUUCUCAGUGAAACAGUGGUAACAGUUGAUAUGUCAGGGACAAGGGGCAGGAUCACUGUGAUUAGAACUAAGUGGCCACUUCAUAGUGCCCCUGGUGCUGGCAGAAUCCGAACUGAAACCAGCUAUGUCCAGUGCUUCUUCAGGCUGAAGUAGACAGAUGAGCAGAGCCACCCGGACACACACACACACACACACACACACACACACACACACACACACACACACACACACACACACCAGGAAAAGUUAGCGCUCCACAUACCUCCUGUGCAGCAAAGUCCUCGGUAACAAACGAGAUACGGCCUUGCUUCUUUUUCUGAAAGAAAGGACCCGGAGAAAGGAAAAUCAGUAAAAAUGCCCCUGGAGUUCUACAUCGGAAGCCCUUCUAUCGACCCAGGCCACUCUGCUGAGUCCACCUGUGGCGCAUCUCCCAGAGCCGUUUUGUUAUCACCUCCUCUCGAAAACCCCAGCUCUGCCCUAUGCUAGCAUCAACAACAUACUAUGGAGGCGGUGGCACGUGGUAGAGAGAAGGAAAUGGCAGCAGGGAAAGAAGAAAAAGGGGGAAAAGGAGGAGGAGAAAGAAGCGGACAGACCGGAUAGCGCCGAGGCGGGGAAAGGAGGGACCCAGAGUGGAUGGGUGAAGUCAAGCUUGGUUAAGUUUCGAUAGCAAGUCAAACACGGCCCAUCUUCGAUCUAUUGCUCUACUCCGUCAACAGAACAAAAUUGGUUUUAUCAAGUCCCAUACAACGGUCGGCUGGGCUGGCACAGUCAUGCCCACUAGAAACAGCAAGAGUCACAAAGCCAGCCCAGCUGUCUGACAAAGUUCCAGCGUAGCUGAGCCAGACGCUGCCGUCGCUGUCCUUCUGUCUAAAGCCUCUGCGUGGUGCGUUCUUGGGGACUUUCUGUAUUGGGAUUCAUUUUAUGUCUUUUCCCAAGAAAACUGUGCCUGGGUUUUUCUAGGAAAAGUCUUACACCUACUUAAGCUGCUGCUUCUAGCUUUCUCUGGCCCUGUUUGGAAGUCUUUAUGCCCUGGAGAUAAUUAGAUACAGGGAAGCACCAGUAAGCUGCGAUGGGACUCCUAAAUGAGGCCAUUACCCCAGAAAUCUUGUCUGCCCCCAAAUAAACUCAAACAGUAAAAUCAGUGCAGGGUAAACAGAAACAACUGACAAACUCUGACCAGCCAGGCAACCAGGUUACAGAUUCAAGCCCCCCCCCCUUUAUGUCCUUCUUAGGGUUCUCUGAAUAUGUAGUUUAAAGAUAGGGGGUCAUACAGGGUACAGCCCCAGGAGGAAUAGAAUUCAGGAAACCAAAUCGAUUCUCUAAAAUAAACUUUCUCGACUUUAUAGCAGAGAGGAUGAAACAACAGGGUAAAGUAUUGAGAUUUGCUAUUCAUGAAAAGGCCUGUCCAGAUAUUCACUGUUUGUCUGAGGUACUUUAAAACUGCAAAUUCUGCCAGCCCUAAAAGCCAGGCUGUUCAUAUAAUAACUGUGUUUGCUUUGGAGGGGAUAUUCUUUAGAUUCUUUAAAUUGGAAUUAUAGGGCUGAUGAUAAAAAUAAAAUCUGUUCUGUUUGUAUUUUC
RNAcentral lists this long non-coding RNA (3215 nucleotides) under Mus musculus (house mouse). Its description in RNAcentral is "predicted gene 14252". The record is from RNAcentral. Lineage: Eukaryota; Metazoa; Chordata; Mammalia; Rodentia; Muridae.